CAGUCGCCGCGGUAAAACGUAUGUCACAAGCGUUAUCCGGAUUUAUUGGGCGUAAAGCGCGUCUAGGUGGUUACGUAAGUCUGAUGUGAAAAUGCAGGGCUCAACUCUGUAUUGCGUUGGAAACUGUGUAACUAGAGUACUGGAGAGGUAAGCGGAACUACAAGUGUAGAGGUGAAAUUCGUAGAUAUUUGUAGGAAUGCCGAUGGGGAAGCCAGCUUACUGGACAGAUACUGACGCUGAAGCGCGAAAGCGUGGGUAGCAAACAGGAUUAGAUACCCGAGUAGUCCCUGUCUCUUAUACA
Molecule: ribosomal RNA, 301 nt
Filed under: uncultured bacterium
Lineage: Bacteria
Description: partial 16S ribosomal RNA
Rfam family: Bacterial small subunit ribosomal RNA
Source: RNAcentral